Aedes albopictus (Asian tiger mosquito) is the source of this 21540-nucleotide RNA transcript. RefSeq lists it as uncharacterized. NCBI's taxonomy places the organism in Eukaryota, Metazoa, Arthropoda, Insecta, Diptera, Culicidae. The record is from RefSeq and is a predicted model, not a curated record. The transcript has 2 exons.
CAUAGAACUCCUAGCUUUUCUAACAUAACAACAUGUUUUGCUUCACCAUUUAGAAGAGCUAAUCCAUUUCUAGCUUUGCCUACCCAGAUAAAUUGGAAUUAAACAAUAUGCGACAGACAAAACGUGUUCAUGGUUUACAGUUUUGAUCACUUCUUGUUUAACUUUGUUUUGGUAAAUUUCACAUGCAACGCAAACAAAACUUUUUUUGCACUCAUAUAAGUGCAAAUAAUGCAAAGCACACCACAUAUAACACAUAGUAGUGGCAAAUCCGUAACUGACUAAAACAAUCGAAGUGGCACAUAGACCCGACUAGAUGGGAAAAACAGAAUUAUUACAAGUUGUAUUAUUUUGUUACAAUGAUUUUUGUAACAGCGAUUGUUAUAAAUCAUGUACCGUAAGUAGCCAAGAUAACAAAAUUUCUAACAAAACUCGUUCCAAUUGAAACAAAAAUAUAACAAGUCGAGAUAUAAUCAUAACAAGAUUAUAUCAAAUUUUGUUAGAUUAAGCUUGUGAAAUCAUAACACAAUUAUUACAAGUUCUGUUAUACUUCAGAGCAAAUUUGUUACAAGUUUUAUUAUGAAUCUCUUGGCCCGAGUGCCCAAAAUAACAAAAAUUAUCAAUCUUUUUCGCGACAACACGCGACAACACAAACUUAUAAAUUUUGAAAUAAUGUUGUUAUAAAAAAUAUAACAGAGAUUGCAAUAAAUGUGUUACGAAAUUAUGUUAGAGGCAAUUAUAUUAUAAUGCAUAAUAUAGUAAAUGUUGCUAAACAUCUGUUCGAAUAAAUUAAUCAAUUUUUGUUAUAAUUUAGUUACUAAAAUUAUAAUAAAUGUUAAUAUAAUUUUGCUAUGGGUAAUCACAUGGGAAAAUCCUUAUAACAGAAUUAUAUCAACUAUUGUUAUGUCUAACAACAGUUGUUACAAUUUUGUUAUGAUCUUGUUAUGUGUUUCUGAUCGGGGAACCAAUGAAUGAUGACUGGGACUAGCAUAUCAUGCACAAUUAGAGAGUUCCACAUUUAAAAGUCAAUAACGGCCACGUCCUUACAGUCAUUGGGAAAGGGUAGGAAUGUUAGUUCUACAACCGUUGGAAAGAAACCGUGGAAUUAACCCACGGUUGUCUCGGCAAGGAUUAUUUGUUAAUAAUCUAGUGAAUCUAGGAGUCAGCUAUGAUAAUUGAUAUGGUCCACUCCACAGGCACAAUUACUAUAUUUCUAUGCUUCAAAAAAUGCAUUUUUAAGGCUUCUUUUUGCAUUGAUUUCAAGCCAUUGACAGGCGUGAGGACGUGAGUUAUGUGACGUGAAUAGUACUUUUGAUAAGACACUUAUUCCACCUAACACAACGCAAACCUUAUACGCGCUGCUAGCACUCAGUCUCACAGUUUCAGUCCCACAGGAAGUCCUGGUGGGUAAUUCUCGCUGAGACCGGCCCACUGUUUACACCUUGUCUUCAAAAAUGUUUAAGGUGACGAUUUUCUGGAAGUCCUCGGUAAUAAAGUAAGGAAAAUGUAUUUGGUUACUCAAAUUGAAGGACCCCCCGUGCAAUGUGGUGUAGAUUUAAAUCACAUUGCCCCUCGUGUUGGUUACAGCCACAAAAAUUUUAGCAGACCCCUCGAUUUUGGUCAAAUGGUGGCUCAUUUAAACCGUUAUAACUCGAAAGUUUGGGGCUGCAAAACGGUGAGUCGAUAAGGAGAGCGUCCAACAUAGCUCUGGUCCUCACAAGUUCCUACCUCAUGCUUCCACGGGUCAAACGAUGACAAAGACCGCCAGCUAAGAGUUGUGUGCUUAGCUGGUAGUGCAGCCUGGGCACUGUUGUCCUUCUGACUUCAGCUAGAUUGAGGAGGUACGUCCCGAGCGUCUGUUCACCAAGGAGGUGCGGCUCAAACAGCGUCUGUUCUGGCAUCCAGCGGCUGAGUAUGAAAUGCUAUAUUGCGUCAGCUAUACCUAAGAAGGCAGCCCCUUCAACGCAAUGUAGGCAGCGCGGCCCCGGUAAGGUAGCCUGCUGAAAACCUUCAAACACCCAGAAAAGCAAUAGUAGAGUAAACGGAUUGAUUCAACGGCAACAGACCCGGCAACGAAUAAAGGACAACGAUUGGAAAGUCGGAUCUUGGAACGUGAGAACUUUGAAUGAACCCGCACGUGUUGGGCUCCUGGCUCGUGAACUGCAGAAUGUCGGCGUAAAUGUGGCCGCUAUCCAGGAGAUACGCUGGCCCAAAACUGGAGAACGCGAAUUCCGAGCGGUGGAUCCCAUCGCCAACACUUCAUUCAAGUACCACAUCUACUACAGCGGCGGCGAUAAGGCAGAACGCGGAGUUGGCUUUAUAGUGAUCGGGAAGCAGAUGAAGCGAGUUAUUCGGUGGAAGCCGAUAAGCGACCGAAUCUGUGUGUUGAGGAUGAAGGGCAAGUUCUUCAACUACAGCCUGAUCAGCAUCUAUGCGCCAACGAACGACAAACCCGAUGACAUGAAGGAUGAAUUCUAUGAGAGCCUUGAUAAGGCCUACGGAGAGUGCCCAAAACAAGAUGUCAAAAUAGUCAUCGGAGAUGCAAAUGCGCAGAUCGGCAGAGAAAGUUUCUUUCGGCCUGUCAUUGGAACGGAAAGCCUUCAUUCUGUUACCAACGAUAAUGGUCUGCGCCUUGUGACAUUCGCUGCUGCUAGAGGGAUGGCAAUCAGCAGUACCUACUUCGCACGUAAGAAUAUCCGAAAACACACCUGGCGACACCCGAGUGGUGACACUUGCUCCCAGAUAGACCACGUGCUGGUCGACGGGCGACAUUUCUCGGACGUCAUAGAUGUGAGGUCCUACAGAGGCCCGAACAUCGACUCGGAUCAUUAUCUUGUAGCCGCUAAAAUUCGGGCGCGAUUAUCCAGCGUCACGAGUUCAAGAAACAACAGGACGAUGCGUUUCAAUAUCCAGCGCUUGUCAGCCGAAGGGGUUGCUGCACAGUACCAUCAGAAGCUAGACGAGAGGAUAGGAGAGACCAACGGAUCUGGAGAUGUCAACAGCUUAUGGGGAAAUAUCCACGAAGCAGUGACAACAACAGCGCAAGAGGUGAUUGGUACCGCUCAGCGACGCCAACGUAAUGGUUGGUUUGACGAGGACUGCCAACGAGCGACGAACGAAAAGAAUGCCGCCAGAAGUCGAAUGCUAGUGGCCGGUACCCGGCAGAACAGAGAGCGGUACAGGGUUGCAAGAGCAGAAGAGAAACGAAUCCACCGCAGGAAAAAACGGCAACACGAAGAGAGUGUUAUUGCUGAAGCGCAGGAAAGUAUGGACAGGAACGAUAUGCGGAGGUUUUAUGCAACUGUCAAUGGCGCGCGGCACAAGACUGCGCCAGUGCCCGCCAUGUGCAAUGAUCGGGAAGGAAAUUUGCUGACAGACAAAACAAUGGUGGCAGCCAGGUGGAAGGAGCACUUCGAAGAUUUGUUGAAUGGUAGCAGCGAAGGAGCACCCAGGAACAGGAUUAACAUAAUGGAUGACAGUCAAGCAGUGGAACCACCAACACUGGAUGAGGUUAAAAAGGCCCUUAAGGAGCUGAAAAACAGCAAGGCUGCUGGGAAGGACGAGAUCCCGGUCGAACUUCUUAAGCACGGAAGCGAGCAGCUACAUCAAUCAAUCCAUCAGAUUAUUAUAAAGAUUUGGGAGGAUGAAGAAUUGCCCACCAGUUGGUUGAAUGGCCUCAUAUGCCCAAUCUACAAGAAAGGGCACAGACUGGAGUGUGCCAAUUACAGAGGGAUUACCCUUUUGAAUUCGGCGUAUAAGAUACUGUCGCGUAUCCUGUUCAACAGACUGCGACCUCUUGAGGAGUCCUUCGUCGGCGAAUACCAGGCUGGUUUUCGUGAGGGCCGAUCAACGACGGAUCAAAUGUUUACCCUGCGGAUGAUCCUAGAUAAAUUUCGGGAAUAUAACUUGCAGACUCACCAUCUGUUCAUUGAUUUUAAAGCAGCGUAAGAUUCAGUGAAAAGAAAUGAGCUUUGGCAGAUAAUGUCAGAACAUGGUUUUCCGGCGAAACUAAUUAGGCUGAUACGCGCAACGCUGGAUGGAUCAAAAUCAAGUAUUCGGAUCGCGGACGAAGUGUCUACGUCGUUUGUGACCUUGGAUGGAUUGAAGCAGGGGGAUGCUCUUUCAAAUUUAUUGUUCAACAUUGCACUCGAAGGAGCGAUUAGGAGGUCAGGCGUGCAGAGGAAUGGCUCUAUCAUCACACGGUCGCACAUGCUCCUCGGUUUUGCGGACGAUAUUGAUCUCAUCGGCAUCGAUCGUAGGGCAGUGGAGGAAGCUUAUGCUCCUCUGAAGAGAGAGACAGCGAGGAUAGGCUUGACGAUUAACUCUACCAAGACGAAGUACAUGAUAGCGGGUAGAGACAGAAGCAGGCCUAGUGGUGUUAGUGCUGAGGUAGUGAUUGAUGGGGAAGUGUUUGAAGUUGUUGAAGAAUUUGUUUAUCUUGGAACACUUGUGACAUGUGACAAUGACGUUUCCCGUGAAGUGAAAAGGCGUAUUGCAGCUGCGAAUAGGGCCUUUUACGGAUUGCGUAGCCAGCUUAGGUCCCGUAACUUGCAAACGCAAACAAAAUUCGCUCUGUAUAAGACGCUGAUUCUUCCGGUUGCCCUCUACGGUCACGAAGCGUGGACGUUAAAGGAGGUAGACCGAAAAGCUUUUGGAGUUUUUGAGCGCAAAGUACUGCGGACAAUUCUCGGUGGGAAACAAGAAAAUGGAAUGUGGCGCAGACGCAUGAAUCACGAGUUGUACCAAGUGUACGAAGAUGCGAAUAUUGUGAAACGUAUAAAAUACGGCAGACUUCAGUGGGCUGGACACGUAGUGCGAAUGUCGGAAGAAAGAAUAGCGAAAACAAUAUUCAGCAGAGAACCCGGUAGAGGUAGGCGACUUCGUGGGCGGCCGCGAACUCGCUGGCUGCACGCGGUUGAAGAAGAUCUACGAUCCCUACACGUUCGGGGAAACUGGAGGAACAUCGCCCAAGACCGACGAAGAUGGUGCUCUACUAUACGCUCGGCAUUGGAGUAAAGUUACUUUGUAGCCAACAAGGUAUCAAGGUAGGUAACUCGAAAGUUUCUCCAAAAAUCACCUCAAAACGCAUUGUUGUUGAAAAGAGGAAAGAUAGAGCUACUAUUUACAAUUAUAAAAAAUUGGGUCGGCCAUAGGUCGGCCUACUGAUUUUGGCCGCCAUCUCCAAAACGUGGCUUAAUUUACAAAACUGCAGAUAACUUUUGAUAGGAAAAAAGACAUCUCUAUUUUUUUGAUACCUAUGUAAUGUAUAAAUGUCUCGGCUUUCAAUUGAUGUCAUAGCUCGAUGUGAUUUUGAUGAGUUAUUCAAAAAUCUAGUGAAUAUCUCACGAAUAGCUCAAAGUGAUAUGAUAUCAGUUGUUGUUCUUGUCGAAAUAGCUGAAAAUUUCUACAUAAGAACAAAUUUAGCUCUUCUGUACGAAAUGGAACACAUACACCCAUAGAGAUGGCUCAAUGUUAGUGGAAUGCCAUGUGUCCCUUUCUGAGCUGUGAGUACGAAGAACCGCAUGCUCUUAUUCCCAUGUCAUUUACAACAGCGAGCCACAGUUGAGUGGUAAGCAUCGCCGCCUGUAAAUCCUAAGGUCUUAGGUUCGAUGCUGGAUGCUGCCAUUUUUUUAUUUUUUUUUUCUAGAAAAAUGUGACAAAUCUUGUCUGCUAUUGUUUUGAUCUUGUAAUAUCUUAACGAGCUAUUAUUAAGUAGUUCACCAUAUUAGAUUUUGCUAUUAUUUCUGUUCUUUUACCUCUUAUAUCAAUCAAACCAAUAUCAGUUUUUGCUCUUCAGUAAUUCAAUCAAUCAUAACUGAAUAUGCUAUUCAGCAGAUUUUUCCACCUACUCGGGUAGCUCUAUCUUUCCUCUUUUCAACAACAUUUCGUUUUGAGGUGAUUUUUGCAGAAAUUUUCGAGUUAUAACGGUUUAAAUGAAUCACCAUUUGACCAAAAUCGAGGGGUUUGCAAAAAUUGUUGUGGCUCUAACUAACGGGGGGUCCAUCAAGUUGAGUAACCAAAUGCAUUUUCCUUACCUUUUUUUGCGAGGACUUUCAGAAAAUCGCCACCCUAAACAUUUUUGAAGACAAGAUGUAAAUAGUGGGCCGGUCUCAGCGAGAAUUACCCAAUAGUAUAAAUAUAAGUAGUGCCAGCGUGUAACUUUUUACUGUUACACUUUAGAUAGUUAAUGUCUUUGAGAAAGUUGUUUUGACUAAAUAAACAACUAUUACUUGGACGUCAAAAUUCCACGGCCUACUGUUUUCAAAUUAUUGUAUACUAGCUGUCCCGGCAAACUUUGUCUUGCCAAGUUGUGGUGGAUUGACAAUUGUUGCAGCAAUGCAUGGCACUCUAGGUUGGUGUCAUUUUGAUCGUGUUGAUUUUCUUCCCCGGUUAUGAAAAAUCAAUACUUUAUAAUUUUUCUUAUUUUUUCAGUUUAUUUUCGUAACUUUUUGUACAUAUACAGUGUUUCAAACAAUUGUCCGUACAGCAAUGUUUUGGUCAAAAUAAUUUUUCGUUCAAAUGUUCAUAACUUUUUUAUACGUCAAUCAAAAAAGCUGAAAUUUUGAUCAACCAUGAAUCAUAUACCGUAAAACGGGGUAUCUUUGAUAAUGCGGGUAACUUUGAUAGUGCGGCAGGCAUUGUGUAAUUUAUCUUAUAACUAUGAUUCCUUCAACCAGUUAAGAAAAAGGUAAACGUUAAUCAAUUCUAUACAUAUGAAAGUUCAUCUUAGACGUAUUUUCAUUAAAAUCUAGUUUAUAUACAACUAUUUAGACAAAAAAUAAAAACUGUUGAUAUUUUUGUCAUUUAUCAACCCCUUCAAACAAUCUGCUAUACGACUUCGUUACAACUAUUUUUUCAAUGAAUGGACUCUUAUUCUCGGUAGAUUCAUCAUAGUAGAUUCCAAAUCUGGCCUUGAAUCUCUUAACGAAGUGUGUUUUCACGAAAUGAAAGCAAUUUUGUAAAUUGGGAUAUUAAUCUCCAUACAUUGGAAAACGCCUAAAAGUAUGCAAUGCCCUUGUAAUUUAAUGUAGAUAAAUAUGUGUUGUUCAAAAUUGGUUGAUAAAACAUUAAAAAUCUACCCAAAAAAAGAAAACUUACCAUGAAUAGCAUGUAAUUAUAUGUUGAUGUUACCGUUAAGCAUUUAUUAUUACAAAGAUAAUGAUUUUUGAUAGCUAAAUUUAUUGUGUUUUGCACUCAAUACUCCACAAACUCAUUUUUAUGUGUAGAAUUUAGUAAAAAAUCAAUGUUUUGAUAUAAAAAUUCUAUCUAAUAUAUUCCACAAGCCUUCUCUCAUCAUGUUCAUACUCCUAAGUUUUCAAUCUGUGAUUAUUUUUUGAGAUUUGAUGUGUUUUUAGGGCAUUAUCAAAGUCACCCCAGAAUGAAAAUCUGAUUUUCGGUUUUAUGAAAAACUAAAAGUUAUCCAAAGUAUUUCAGAUUGUCGAAUCUUUUAAUUGCAAUUGAUAACUAAUACCCCAGUACUUGUUUUAAAAAUAUAAAACUCGGGGAAAUACUAUUACAUGUAAAAAUAUUGAAAAAAAUCGCUGAAAAACUAUCAAAGUUACCCCAUUUUACGGUAUUAAAGAUCCAUUGGUAAAAUAUUGAGCGAGUUCGAAUAAGUUUUCUGAAAGUUAUAGAACUUUUUAAAAAACUUAUAAGAUUUUUGAACACAUUUUGAAAACAUUAUAUCUCAGUAUGCACUCGAUGAAACUUUUUCAACUUUUUUUGUUUUACAGCUGAUAUCUAAGGUUUUCAUAUGUAGCUACUUUUGAGGUUUUAUAUUCACUACAAAAAAUAUGAAAAUGUGCUUAUGUAGUUGACGAUGUUUAAAAAUUUACCUUAUUUUGCACAUAUAAUCUGCCAAACGUUUUCCACCAAUAAAAGUGCAUUAACUAAACGAAAAAUACAUAGGACCUACUCAUCAUAUGUAGUUUAGUAGGUCCUGUAUAAAUAUAUUAAUAAGAGAGUUUAAGAACGUUGAAAACACUUGGCACUUUUAUUGAUCAAAAUAUGAUAAAUUUCCAAAUAACACUCUGAACAUAUACAGAUUUUUCAUAUUUUUUGUAGUGAAUAUAAAACCUCAAACGAAGCUGCAUAUGAAAGCCUUUAAGUUGUAUCACAAAAAAAAUGGGAAAAAGUUUCAUCGAGUACAUAUUGAGAUAUAAUGUUGUGUUAAAAAAUCUUAUAAGUUUUACGAAAAGCUCUAUAAUUGUUGCUAUAACUAUCAGAAAACUUAUUCGAUUUCGUUCAAAAUUUUACCAAUUGAGCCUUAAUAUAUGGUUUAUGAUUGAUCAAAUUUUCAGUGUAUUUGAAUCACGUAUAAAAAAUUUUUCAUUUAAAUGAAAAAAUAUUUUGACCAAAAAAUUGCUGUACGAACAAUUGUUUGAUACACUGUAAACACUGGAAGAAUCAUGCCGAUCGGUUCAGCCGUUCGUAAGUUUUGUUGCCUCAAAAAAACUUCAAGCUCAUUUUUUUAUAUAUAGAUAAAUAGAUAAACUAGAUUUUUUUGAUAAAAAAUGGCAAUAAAACCCUUCUUGGUGCAAUAGUAUGAACUAUGUUUUAUUGUUAUUACUUUCACGAUACAAUAGUAGGUCAUGAAAGUUUCGUGGAGCUUCAGUUUCAUAAUCUCCAGAGAUUUAUCAACGUCCCACGGUGUUACAUCUCGAUUAUUAUUAAACUUUCAUGUACCUCAAAUUUUAAUCAUAAGAAAAUUUUUAUCAAUGAUUAAUCAGUGAUUAAACGCUUUUCGAAUGAUUAAAUGAGCUAAAAGCAUACAAGUUACGCUUAAUCGUAUGCAAUUAACGAGUUGAAUACUAAAGCAAGAUUGGUAUUUUAUGUGAUUAAAGCAAAUUUACCAAAAAGUUUACUGUAUAUUGAUGUAAAGUUGGAUUAAUCACUAUUUUAAAUCAUAAAUCUGUGAUUAAAAUUGAACGCUCUGCCUCUGCCAUUGACCAUUUUGCAUGUGUAUAUCGUGUGGCAGACACGAAGAUACACUAUAAGCCCAGUUUCGUGUUCAAAAGGAAUCGCUUAAGAAAGUUUUAACCGAUUCCUGUCAGAAACUUUCCACAGUGACUGCCAUUUGAAUUGUCAUUCCUUCGCAACUGCAUACUGGGAUCGAAGAAAAACGGUUUCUUGGGCGAUUCAGGCAAGGAAUUUCCCAUGCUUCAAGAUAGGCCAAAAAUUUCCUUCUGAGCUGCAAAUAGCCCUUAUAGGAGGUCAAAGAAUUUUUAUACCAGAAGCUCCUGAACCAACCGAGAUCGAUCUUGUCACCCUCAGCAUGAUCAUGCUGAAUACCCACGCCUUUACAGCUGUGGUUAUAUGGACGAAAUUCCAUGUUCAGUUCAAACAGAACAGGUAGGGAUUGUUCGAUGCUUUAUCUAGAAAGCUUUCUGAUAACGCAUGUUUGUCAUUUUGAAAUUUUUUGAUGUAUAUUCGGCCUCGUUUCUAACGUAGUUUGUAAUGCAAUAUUUAAGUAAAUAAUUAGAGAUUUUUUUUAGAAAUUCUGUAUGAAAAUGAUUUUUGUAUAAAAACAGUGUAACCGUUCGUCGAAUAAGCACGAGAGAAUCUAAACGCGGUGGCUUUUGCGCCACUCUCGCGAACGAGAGACCACCGGUUCAUUUUAGGUUUGCCCGACUAAAUCCACGACUCUUAUCUCGAGGGCUUUCUCGAACGGUCGCUGGCUCAAAUCAAACCCAAAACGCACUGAAUCUGGUACACAAAAAUGGACGAACUGAAUCAAUAACGAAAAUUUACACUAAAAAGAAACUAAAAACAGAAAUAACCACAGAAUCAAACAAUUAGGGAUCGCUGAAGUGAAUCUAUUUGAAUGAAUUUAAGGAAUAAAACAAAAAAAUAAUAAUAAUAAAACAAAGAAAACUUAAAACAAUUGAAUUCGUUCGUAUGUAUAUUGUCUUUUACAAAUGCUCGUCAAGUGUGUGUGUGUGUGUGUUGUGUGUGUGUAUGAUCAUGGCCAUGAACUCAAACGACGUACCUGCGCAGGCUUUUCCGUUGUCGGUGCAUUUCCGUGGCCAAUCGUCGACGUCGCGCUCUCCUUAUCGUUCGCCGGUUUAAAGGUGCGGAGGGGGAGUGUCGGCGGUCCGGUACUCUGCCCGAUCGUACGUAAACUGUACGCAGGAAGGCCGGACGUGAUCCCUACUCCGUUUGGCUGCCAGUUUUGGCGGGCGAGGAGCAGCGGAAAUGGCUUAAAGCCCAAAAUAAAAAGCGUCUUGGACGCUUUGAAACAACAAGUAAAGGCACAGGGAGCAGAGUGUCUGCCCCUGGCGACAAAAUCCAAUAUAAUUAACUUUAAAACAGAACGAACUGGGAGAAGGUCGCCGAAGCUCACUUCUGCUCACCAGCCGACUCAACUAUGAAGUGAUGGAGUCAGUCGAAAUCUCUAGUCAAGUAAAUUUCCUGCUAUUGAAGCAGUCGUCUAUUCAAUCUUAAAACUAUUAUAUACAAGUGCGCCAAAUUUAAAUCGCACAUGGCCGUAAAAACUAUUUAGCGCCAUCGAAAAAGUCCUAUAAGAUAAGUAACAUGAAUCGUCAUUAGCUUAGCCUAGACACAAACCUUACAUGAAACGGAUAAUCUCUACUAGAUGAAACGGUUCAAACUCAAAGACAAAUUCAACGAAUCCGAUUUAUAUAAGAUUUUACUUUAAAAAGAUAAAAACGUCAAAAGCUACAAAUUAAACUAAAAUAAUCAUGAAAACUAAUAAUGAAUUAUAAAAAAAAACAAAUUUUAAAAUCAAAAUCGAAAUAUUCAAAAAAUUUAACAAUUCAAUCUAACUGAAUUCAAACUUUAUUUUACUUAAACAGAAUAAAAACGUCAAAACGUUACAUCACACCACCCAGUUUUAUGAAAAUUUGAUCAGAGGAACUGAUCAAAUUUUCAUAACUCACAAAAUACUCUAAAAAACACAGUUGAAUCAAACUUAACGUAAAACAAAACUUAUGUCCAGUUUACAUUGAUGGUCAUAGAGCAAUUAACAACACGGAAAGACUCGAACACGACUACCACAAAGGGAAUUCUCCACUGUCAAACAACUUACAUAAUCGUUACUCGUUGAACGAUUACCACAAUGGGAACUCCUCAAUGUCAAUAAACUUACAUAGCCGUGAUCUUAACGUAACGGAACUACAGUUAGCUGCAUCAUCAACGCCUUCGUUGACGCAUUCGCAAAUCUAACUGCUUAAACUCGGAUCCUCAGAGUCCAUCAGCUCAUUGCGUCUGACCUCCUCCCUGAUUCUCCUUAACGUAACGGAACUACAGCUGGUUGCAUUAUCAACACCCUCGUUGACACAUUUGCAAACCAAACUGCUUAAACUCGGAUCAUCAGAGUCCAUCAGCUCAUUGCGUCUGACCUCCUCCCUGACUCUCCUUAACGUAACGGAACUAAACCGCAGCUGAUUGCACAUCAAAACUGUGUUUGACUCAUUCGCAAUCAAACGCUGCAUAAACGUAAGCAGAAAUAAAUUCUAAACAUCAAACAUAAUUUGACCAAAUUCAGAAUCUGCAAAAAAUAUCGAACAGCUCUAUGUUAACAUCGAAUGCAAACUGACAGCAUAAAAUCUUGCAUGCAAGUUCUACUACCAACUGCAACGAAACGUACUGUCAACGCAAGUGACGUCCGCGCUGUCACCGACGCGAGACGAUAAUGAACGGAAAAAAAAAUAAAAACAACGGUGUUGGUCGUCGCGGUCGCGAGAGAAAGGAAAAACGCCAUAAUUCAUAAACCGGGGGAGUAUUCGUUACUUUUAUAUCAUAAAACUUAAGGAAUAAUUGCUUUAUGUAUUAUUUACAGAUAUUCGUCGCGGGACUUCGUCGAGAAUGGAAAAAAAACGGUAAAAGGUAAAGUGCGAUUAAAAAUUAUCUAUAUAAAUUAAACAUGAUGGCUUCCUAGGUGGUUUCUAUCGUACUCGUUACGGUAGAAAUGUAAACAUCGCUAACGGACUUUGUUUCCGUAUUCGACACGAUUGGCUAAUUGAUUUUUAUUGCGAUUGUUGUCGAGGGAUUUAACCCUGCGCUAAACUGUGCAAAUUGAUGUUUUCUAGAUGAAAACCUGAUUCGAUGGGUCAAACUAACUAAAAUAACCAGAAGGGAAAAAAAAACUAAUCAAAAUAUGAACAUAUUCCGCAACUUUUAAUGCAUAUCGUUAUUUACAGAUGACUCGAUGUAUUCUCAACGGAGCAUGAACCGACGGCGAUACCAGUUGCUCUACCGAUAACCGGAAUAAGUUGGAAUAGAGCGUGAACGAAAUUUGAAGAUCGUGCAAGGCCUUUCUAAAAACGCUAGAGAUGUACCUGGUUCUUGCAGAUGCAGACGAUCCUCUAGCCUGCGCGGGAAUCAAUUCAUUCAACGAUGACGGUCAAAAUCGUCGGAGGGUCAGAUUCGAAUGACACUGGAAUACCUUCUUCUGUACGGAUCUUGGCACCGGUGGACCAAAACUCGCGGCGAAUAGCGAUAUUAACAACGGACCCAGGAAACGCGACCGACACGACUCAACGACGACCGAAAACGAGUGGUUUUGGAGCAUCUACUGCACCCUGGCAUCUACUACACGAGGAAAAAGUCAAAUAAACGGGUGAGUCAUUUAUAUUUUUUCACUAAUUUUAAAUUUAGAACUAACAUAGAAUAAGUAAAGAAUGCUAAAUUAGUUCCGUAAGCCUUUACGCUAACCAGAACUCUUAAGAGAAAUAUUUGGUUGAUUUGCUAAAAGCAAUCUUCCAAACACGUCAGAACAACACAACAAAAAUGUACAUACAAAAUUUCAUUGAUCGAAUUCAAUGAUAAUUUUGCUUUAAAAAGAGAAAAACGUCGAAAACGUUUUUUCUAUACAUAUAUUUCUAUUUAGUCUUCAACGAAAGGUCUCAAAUGUCUAAAAUUCAUUAAAAACUAUUUUUUUCUUAAAAAAAACAUCAAAAGGAAAAUAUAAUAAUGCAAAAAUCAAUUAAAAACAUAAAAUUCCAUCAUUAGUCAUAAAAAAGUCAUUUAUAUGCACUUUAUGCUUAAAGUUGAACUUCGCGUUAAAUUUGACUCAACUGAACGUAACUAAACUUAAAAAAAACUGAAAAGAACUGAAAAUUAAACGAAAUAAAGUCUGAAAUACCAAAAAAAAACGAAAAUUGUACGAAACUAAAAAAAAAUACUAAAUCCAAUUCAAUAAAACGCAAAACCGUAAUCAAAACUAAAAAUCAAUAAAAAUCAAACCAGAAAUUCAAAAAUAUCUUUAAAACUAAACAAAUUCAAUCUAAUUUAAGCUAAAAAGAAAAAAAUAACAAAAUCAAAUUCAAAAUACAAAAAACUCAAACAAAUAAUAAACUUUCCUCGAAUUCAAAUUAUUUAAGAAGAAAAUUUGUAGUUUUUAACGUUGGGCGCCAAUGUAACCGUUUCUCGAACGGUCGCUGGCUCAAAUCAAACCCAAAACGCACUGAAUCUGGUACACAAAAAUGGACGAACUGAAUCAAUAACGAAAAUUUACACUAAAAAGAAACUAAAAACAGAAAUAACCACAGAAUCAAACAAUUAGGGAUCGCUGAAGUGAAUCUAUUUGAAUGAAUUUAAGGAAUAAAACAAAAAAAUAAUAAUAAUAAAACAAAGAAAACUUAAAACAAUUGAAUUCGUUCGUAUGUAUAUUGUCUUUUACAAAUGCUCGUCAAGUGUGUGUGUGUGUGUGUUGUGUGUGUGUAUGAUCAUGGCCAUGAACUCAAACGACGUACCUGCGCAGGCUUUUCCGUUGUCGGUGCAUUUCCGUGGCCAAUCGUCGACGUCGCGCUCUCCUUAUCGUUCGCCGGUUUAAAGGUGCGGAGGGGGAGUGUCGGCGGUCCGGUACUCUGCCCGAUCGUACGUAAACUGUACGCAGGAAGGCCGGACGUGAUCCCUACUCCGUUUGGCUGCCAGUUUUGGCGGGCGAGGAGCAGCGGAAAUGGCUUAAAGCCCAAAAUAAAAAGCGUCUUGGACGCUUUGAAACAACAAGUAAAGGCACAGGGAGCAGAGUGUCUGCCCCUGGCGACAAAAUCCAAUAUAAUUAACUUUAAAACAGAACGAACUGGGAGAAGGUCGCCGAAGCUCACUUCUGCUCACCAGCCGACUCAACUAUGAAGUGAUGGAGUCAGUCGAAAUCUCUAGUCAAGUAAAUUUCCUGCUAUUGAAGCAGUCGUCUAUUCAAUCUUAAAACUAUUAUAUACAAGUGCGCCAAAUUUAAAUCGCACAUGGCCGUAAAAACUAUUUAGCGCCAUCGAAAAAGUCCUAUAAGAUAAGUAACAUGAAUCGUCAUUAGCUUAGCCUAGACACAAACCUUACAUGAAACGGAUAAUCUCUACUAGAUGAAACGGUUCAAACUCAAAGACAAAUUCAACGAAUCCGAUUUAUAUAAGAUUUUACUUUAAAAAGAUAAAAACGUCAAAAGCUACAAAUUAAACUAAAAUAAUCAUGAAAACUAAUAAUGAAUUAUAAAAAAAAACAAAUUUUAAAAUCAAAAUCGAAAUAUUCAAAAAAUUUAACAAUUCAAUCUAACUGAAUUCAAACUUUAUUUUACUUAAACAGAAUAAAAACGUCAAAACGUUACAACAGAAAAUAUGUUUCAAUAGGAAAUAAAAUCAGGAGAUUGCUUCGUUAUUUAACCCUGGUAGGAUGUUGGGGUCUAUAUGACCCAGACAGGCUCGCUGAACGUACACUAAGCUAUCGUGGUGCGCCUAGCCUAACAUCUUAGCAGAGUAAAGGAAAACUCGAAAACCAAAAAAUGAGGUGGUUGUAGGCGUUCUAUUUCGGUGGCUAUCAGAAGAGGUUUGAGAAGUGCUACGGAAAUUAUGAGAGUGUUUCAGGGUGUUUGUAGAGGUGGGUUGCAUUGUUUUUUUUUUUUCUGAAAACCUACCCGAUUCCCUGAAAGGGUCCUAAAUCUUCUUGAAACCCCCUGGAACGUUCCUGCAUUCUUUUUAAAACUCCCUGAAAUCCCUGAGGUUACCUUGAAAAUUUAAAACAUUGCAUUGCAGAAAUUGAGAAUUUCCAAGAAUAACUUGUGCUAGCUAUUUUUAUUGUAUGCUGCGCGCAACCACGAACGAUUAACCAACCGAAGAAGUUGGACCUAGAAUCAGCUAAAUAAUCAAGACAAAGUAUGUGUUGAAUCGUGGGGUUUCCGUGAAUCUAUGCUGUUCAGAAUCGGUCGGUCUUUGGCUGACUAACAGUCCUAAUCAGCAGACGUUUAAAAUCAGAUGAUUUUGGGAGCCUUUGAGAGUUCUCCUAUGAAAAUUCAACAUUUGCGCGUUUGUUCAGCAGUUGUAAACAGUGGCAUACACGAACCUGUCAACUGAAAAGGCCUAUAUAAACGGUCUCUACAAAAACUCUGAAAAUGUUGUUUUGACAAAACCUCCGAGGGGCUGUCCAUAAACGAAGUAGCAUUUUUUGGGCCAAUUUUCGACACCUACGUGGCUCGUAGCAAUUUCAGGAACUCCCCCCUCUCCCAUAAAUUGCUACGUCAUUUAUGGACGACCCCCGAGAAGAGAGAGAGAUUGCCAAAAUGAGUACGUAGUUUAUGGACAGCGCGCAGUUAUUUCUAGAUAAUUCCUCCAGGAAUUCUUGCUAGGAAAUUCCCCAUGUUAUUAUUCCAGGAGUUCCUGAAAAUUCUCCUUUUUUCAGAAAUUCCACCGCAUGUUCCUCCAGGAACUCCUAAAGGGAUUGUUUCCGGAAUUUCUCCAUAGAUUGUUGCGUGGAAUGACUGUCAAAAGUUCCUGCAAGAUUUUCCUUAAGAUUUCUUCAAUGAAUUCGUUCAGUGAUUCCUCAAGGAAUCAUCUAAAAUGCAAGUAAGGGUCGCCAAUCUCGAGUCACCACCAACGAACCUAACCUCAAAAUGACUGACAACUCUCAGUGUCUCAGUUCUUUUUGACAGAUGUAACAUAAGCAUAAAAUGGACGGCUACAAAAUCGAUAAAGUAGAAUAUAUGAUCCGUCUCUUCCGUGUAUGUUUGUUGUUUUGUCAAAAUGACCUGAGAAGGGUCAAACAUUUUCAUGGCUAGCGUUGUUAUUGCAAUGAAGAAUAGUACAAAAUAGACAGCCCGUCUAAAAAUACACAAUUUUCUGAUUGUCUUAGCUUAACAGAAGGACUUCCACUUCAGGGCACAGCUACUACAUUUAACUCUCCUUGUGCAUUAGGGUCAUUUCUGACCCAAACCGUGCACUACUUUAGCGAGCUGCUGCCUACGUGAUGCAUUAGGAAUGUCAUGGCGCAGACAAACAGACGUAAGACUUGCAAACUUUCCAUCGACCACGCUUUUAACGAUCAUUAUAAAUCUUCAUAGUUGCAAUUGCUGAUUUCAAAUAGGGUAUUGGUUCCCUUCUUAAGCAUGUGGCUCCCAUUUUCAUCCUACGAAAAACAAAGGAUUGAAGCGCUGUUUGUUUUGUUUCUUAUUUUUGUAUUUUUUAUUAGAAGUGAGUACCCAUGAAAACAAAAAGAACGGAAUCAAUCGGUGCCGUAAUCGCUUGUUUUCGAAUAGGAUGAAUAUGGGAGCGUGAGAUUAAUGAUGGAACACUACCCUAGAUCACUGUUUGCUUAUGGGUUACAAACUAGAGUGUGAAGGAAUCUAAAUUCAAUUGAACCUAUACGAAAUGAACGUUUCAAAAGUUUCAGUGGUUACUUUUCAACAUUAUUCCACGGAAAAUCAAAUGAAAAUAGAAAAACUAUAGUGAUCUUGUACCGAAUGAGUGUAAUCCGUUUUGUAUCUUUUAAUUCCGCCCUAUUUUGCUUAUGGGUCAUUCCAUAUGAAGUGACCGAGAAAAUGUGAAAACUUGCAACCGACCAUCACGGAUUUGAACCAAAUUUGGUUGAAACAUUUGUUUAGAUGGAAAAAGAAAAAAAUCCAAAUUUUGGUGCCGAUCGGAUCACCCCUCGGCCCGUGGCAGCACCCCUCGUUUUGGCCGAUAUGAAAAUUAUCCUCUCUUUCUUUUAUUUUUAUCAUUGAAACGAUUGCACCUACACAUUUUCGACCUUCGGAUUUUUAAAGGAAAUCGUUCAGGGAAUCCAGAAAAAAUAUUAUUUUUUUGAUACAGUGUUGCCAGAUAUCAUAUUUUUCAAUUUUAAAACUAAAAAUCGAUUUUUCUCAAAAUUCGUAUAUUUUGAUUUUAAAAUUUUUGAUUCCAUCGUGUUUAUCAGACGUUUUUCGAUCGAAAAAGCUUAACUCCCCAAAGUAAUUUGCGUCGUUCCUGAGAUAUAGCGUUUUUAAGAAAAAAUAUUCAUUUUUUUCAUAUAAAAUAUCAUAUAAAAUCAGUUGCAGUUUAUAAAAUUCGCAAAAAAAAUGUUCGAUGCCAUACAAAGACGUUUCGUGUUGAUUUGAACAAUAUCAAGUAUAAAAAAGAUAAAAAAAUGUUCAUCAAUUAUGAGUCUAUCGUAAUGGACUAGCAUAACCUGUUGAACUAAAAAAAAUGUAUCUAUUGAGAUCAUCGAGUCUAAACAAAUUUCAUAUAUUUUAACAUUAUCUGAACAGAAAUGCUGCCAAAUAUGUAAUAUUUAUUGUAGAAAUCUUAAUUUCACUAGAACAUUAGUAUGAAAUCUAAUUAACAAGCCAAAAGUAUUUUUUAUUUAGGUUUAGUACAUUUGGCAACAUCGACGUAAAAUAUAUUCAGGAAAACAUUUGAUGAGUGUAUUUAUAAGCAACAGUGCUGAAAAUGUCAUUUCGAUAUAACUACAUUCAAUGACCCACAGCUAAUUUCAGAAGCUGAACCUGAAAAUAUGGAAUAUGAUGAAAUAUGAAGUAUGAUAUCCUUUGGAAUUAGAUAAUAUUAGAUACUACGCAUCGUCGCGCAACUGGUAGCUCAGACUUCAGUAUUUUUAUUUUAUAUUCGAAGGUCCAACUCCUUAUAAAAAUCCCUGUAAAAUAUAUUUUGAUUGAUUUUUACGACAGUGUUGCCAAGUAUGCUAGUAUUUAGCGGAAACGCAAACAAUAGGUGCGGGGAUGCUUAGUAUUGCGUUUACUCUUACUGGAUUGCAGAAUAAUCAGAAUAAUAGGUCAUGUCCUUUAUUGUCCCGGGCAGAGAAGUGAAGAACAGUGUUGAGUAUUGUGUUGUCUAUUGAUGUGAUUGCAUAUGGUAUGAGUUUUUGUUUGUUCUUCGUGGCGAAGAAUGAACAAAAUAUUCUGAGUGAAAUGGAUUAGUGGCGUAAGCUCCCUAGAGCCUACUUUUCUUAGGCUUUUUUUGCAUGGAAAAGAGAUCGGUUGUACGCGAAGGUUAAUUCCGACAAAUCAAAUCGAUUGUUCGAUCAAUUAUACACAAUCAGUUGAGCUCGGCUAAUUUUCAUUCUUUUGCCGAGAUCCGCACAGCCGAGCGCUCGGCAAUUGCAAUUUAACUGAGAUAUCAGCAAAAAAUAAAGUUUAUUCAUAGCAGCACCCGUCGGUGCCGCUAUCAUUAAACAUCAAACGUCAAGCGUUUAGCCGAGAUUUCAGCCAAUGAACUUUAACCGAGAUCCGCACAACCUAUCUCGGCAUUCUGUAUUAAGUGUGUAGGUGACUCCCAGAUCGACAAUGUAUAGUAUCAUAUUAUUGCGACAUUUGCACCCAUUUAGACUCGGCUGAAAUUCAUUAUCAACACAGUCGAAUUUCGCACACGACUUCGCAGCGGCUGGCAUGCACAAGUUCGGUUGAGUUCAAGACAGGGGCGUCGGAUGCACAACAGGUAAACAAAAUAAGCUUGAUUAGUGUAAAAUUUCGCUGGGAAAUGAUGAUUCAGUGGAUUCUCAAAUUAUCACAGUAGUCUAAACAUUAAUGAGAAACCCAAUAAGGAUCGGCAUAUUCGCCUCACUCCAUUCAUAUUCACUCCUCUUUGCUGAAUCGAAUCGAGAAAGAUGCAGCAAACGGAUUGUCGUGAUCAUGCACGCAACCCCAUCACCAGUGAAAGCCAUGCGCAAGUUGCUUGACAUGGAUAUUCGUUGCCGUUCGUCGCAGUUUUGAUCGCAAGCGAAUGAAUGAAUGGCGAAUGGUGAAGAAUGCUGGUGAGCGAUCGAAGUGGCUGCUGUCGUCGCUGAUAAGCAAACACACAAACUAAAGCGAUAAUCGUUCGCUGCGAUUAACCAUGGAGUAGCAAUUAUGAAUUGUGUUGCCAUCUAUGCUCAUACUCAUGCAGUGUUGCAAAAUGUGCUCGUUAUGUAUAAAAAACAGAAAUCAUUUGUUUUUAUUUGGUGUUAUCUAUUUACGAAAGCUUUCGUGUAAAUUAGAUGUUAACAAUAAAAAUGACAUGUGUGGCAACACUUCCAUCUACAACAUCGUUGAAAUGAACAAAAUGACAAUUGAAAUGAAUUUCACAAUAGAUACAUUUUAUAUUUUAACAAUUUAUCCUCAUCUUUCCAAUAAACCAAUUUUUUAUUGCUAACUAUCAAACUAACAAUAACUGUCAAUUAUCGGGUCAUUUUGUCAGAUAGGACCAUAAACAAGAAAACACAGACAAGCAGACGUAACAUUGGAAGAAAUUCCAACGACCACGGUUUUAACGAUCUUUUUAAACCUUUAUAGUUGUAGCUUUCACAACCAGAGGUGCGCACAUCAUUUUUCUAAGCGUUAGACGUUUCACCUAGGUGUUACGUCUGUUUGUCUGUGAAGAAAAGGUCAACAACAGGGUCGUUAGAGAAGAUGUGUAUUGUUUUUAUCUUGCUCACACAUCUUGCAACACACAUGGUGCGAUUUUUCAGAAUAACCUGUACAUUGUCAAACACUUGAAGGUUAGGUUUCAUGGUAUAAUAAAAAAGGUAAACUGGCAACACUGUCAUAUUUUUUUUAAUUCUUUAUGCAAUUCAGUAUUAUAAUUUCUAUUUUAUACAACUAAUUUCGGUAUCAUAAUGGCCAAUUUUUCCGAACUGGUUCAUAAUGCAACUGAAAUGAGUUGCAUUAUGAAAAAUAGUUGCAUAAUGUUCAUAAUGCAACCCAUUUGAGUUGCAUUAUGAACAUUAUGCAACUCAAAUGAGUUGUAUAAUGAAAAAAACAUUGCAUAAAAUUUUGUAUGAAACUCGUUGCAAAACUCGAUUUUUUCAGCACUCUUCGUAUUUAUCCAACUCGGCAAGCCUCGUUGGAUAAAUGUACGACUCGUGCUGAAAAAAUCAACUUUUUGCAACUAGUUGCAUAAAUAACUAUUUUAUACUCGAUAUUGUUCAAAUCAGCACAAAACGUGAUUAUAUGGCAUCGAACAAUGUUUUUUACGAAAUUUAUAAACUGCAUCUGAUUUUAUAUGAUACUUUAUAUGAAAAAAAUGAAUAUUUUUUCUUUAAAACGCUAUAUCUCAGGAACGACGCAAAUUACCUUGGGGAGUUAAGCUUUUUCGAUCGAAAAACGUCUGAUAAACACGAUGGAAUCAAAAUUUUUAAAAUCAAAAUAUACGAAUUUUGAGAAAAAUCGAUUUUUAGUUUUAAAAUUGAAAAAUAUGAUAUCUGGCAACACUGUAUCAAAAAAAUAAUAUUUUUUCUGGAUUCCCUGAACGAUUUCCUUUAAAAAUCCGAAGGUCGAUAAUGUGUAGGUGCAAUCGUUUCAAUGAUAAAAAUAAAAGAAAGAGAGGAUAAUUUUCAUAUCGGCCAUAACGAGGGGUGCUGCCACGGGCCGAGGGGUGAUCCGAUCGGCACCAAAAUAUGGAUUUUUUCUUUUUCCAUCUAAACAAAUGUUUCAGCCAAAUUUGGUUCAAAUCCGUGAUGGUCGAUUGCAAGCGGUCGGUUACUUGGCGUGGAAUGACCCUUAUCCUUUGACAGAAACGCGUAUUUCGACUACCACUUGUAAUCUUCCUCAGUGUCAGUUAUCCACAGUUGGAUAGUGGUAGUCAAAAUACGCGUAUCUGUCAAAGGAUAUGCAAAAUAGGGCGGAAUUAAAAAGGUACAAAACUGAUAACACUAAUUUAAAUUAAACUACAGUCCUAAUUGGUUCAACCAUUGAUUUUUUUUCUCUUUUUCAUGAAAAUAUCUAUGUGAAAUAUGUAAAUAUCAAUACAAUCAAAGCAUUUCACCCCGACCUCCCCACACGCCUAGCUUGUUUGCUACUACUAGCUCUCAUUUGCUCUCCCUCUGUAUCUCUCGCGGACGGUCAACACUAUUUAGAAUAUCGGUCGCGUAGUCACUCAUCGCAGUUUCCCUUCUGAACUCGGACGAGGUUUUUCGCACGCAAAAGUUGUCAUCUCCGCGCGUUUAAACGUUUACGGUCAUAAAUCCAGUAGCUAGUGACAAUCUGGAAUCAAUCCGUCGACGACGGUGACAUCAGGUGACGGUGACGAAGAAAAGAUCCGCGCGCUCGGUGUUCAUGUGACCCCUAAAAGUAUGUAAUUUUUCCUGGAGGUUGAAAGUGAUCGAAGCGGUAGGGAAAACACCACCCAUCGCAUCGCAUCGCCUAUCGGUGGAAUCGAGGGGGGUGAAAAUCCUUACGUUCAUGAUCAACGUCAAGUGCGUGGGUGAAGCUUGUUGAAAACCAGCGAAAAUGGUGACUUUAACCGAACGGACUUGGUGAUUUGCGGUUGAAGAGAGCGUGAAAUUGAUACGCGAAACGAACGAAACGAAAUCAAAUUGAACUACAUAUCGAGUGAUUAACGAAGCGAACUC